UGGGGAAUAUUGGACAAUGGGCGAAAGCCUGAUCCAGCCAUGCCGCGUGUGUGAAGAAGGUCUUCGGAUUGUAAAGCACUUUAAGUUGGGAGGAAGGGCAGUAAGCGAAUACCUUGCUGUUUUGACGUUACCGACAGAAUAAGCACCGGCUAACUCUGUGCCAGCAGCCGCGGUAAUACAGAGGGUGCAAGCGUUAAUCGGAAUUACUGGGCGUAAAGCGCGCGUAGGUGGUUCGUUAAGUUGAAUGUGAAAGCCCCGGGCUCAACCUGGGAACUGCAUCCAAGACUGGCGAGCUAGAGUAGGGCAGAGGGUGGUGGAAUUUCCUGUGUAGCGGUGAAAUGCGUAGAUAUAGGAAGGAGCACCAGUGGCGAAGGCGACCACCUGGGCUCAUACUGACACUGAGGUGCGAAAGCGUGGGGAGCAAACAGG
RNAcentral lists this ribosomal RNA (429 nucleotides) under Pseudomonadota bacterium. RNAcentral's name for it is "Proteobacteria bacterium partial 16S ribosomal RNA". It matches the Rfam family "Bacterial small subunit ribosomal RNA", at positions 355 to 776 of the family's 1533-position model. The record is from RNAcentral. Lineage: Bacteria; Pseudomonadati; Pseudomonadota.